RNAcentral lists this ribosomal RNA (68 nucleotides) under Vibrio vulnificus. Lineage: Bacteria; Pseudomonadati; Pseudomonadota; Gammaproteobacteria; Vibrionales; Vibrionaceae. The record is from RNAcentral.
CUUGGCGACCAUAGCGUUUUGGACCCACCUGAACCCAUUCCGAACUCAGAAGUGAAACGAAAUAGCGU